This is a small nuclear RNA of Erinaceus europaeus (western European hedgehog), 99 nucleotides long. The record is from Ensembl. NCBI's taxonomy places the organism in Eukaryota, Metazoa, Chordata, Mammalia, Eulipotyphla, Erinaceidae.
UUCUGGUAGCACAUAUAUAGUAAAAUUAGAAUGAUACAGAGAAGAUUAGCAUGGCCCCCAGCCCAAAGUAUUCAACUUCUUGAAUCAUCUCUUUUUCAU